RNAcentral lists this ribosomal RNA (620 nucleotides) under uncultured bacterium. RNAcentral's name for it is "bacterial SSU rRNA". It matches the Rfam family "Bacterial small subunit ribosomal RNA", at positions 60 to 669 of the family's 1533-position model. The record is from RNAcentral.
AGUCGUGCGCGAAAACCUCUUCGGAGGCCAGUAGAGCGGCGCACGGGUGAGUAACACGUGAGUAACCUACCUUCAGGUUGAGGAUAACCGCGCGAAAGUGUGGCUAAUACUGAAUAAGGUCUCUUCUUUGUCGAUUGAAGAGAGCAAAGGGGGCUUCGGCUCUCGCCAGAAGAUGGGCUCGCGGUCCAUUAGCUAGUUGGUGAGGUAACGGCUCACCAUGCCUACGAUGGAUAGCGGGUCUGGGAGGAUGAUCCGCCACACGGGCACUGAGACACGGGCCCGACUCCUACGGGAGGCAGCAGUAAGGAAUAUUGGACAAUGGGCGGAAGCCUGAUCCAGCCAUCCCGCGUGCAGGAAGACGGUUCUAUGAAUUGUAAACUGCUUUUAUCAGAGACGAAAAGUUUCCAUUUAUGGAAGAAUCGACGGUAUCUGAUGAAUAAGCACCGGCUAACUCCGUGCCAGCAGCCGCGGUAAUACGGAGGGUGCAAGCGUUAUCCGGAAUUACUGGGUUUAAAGGGUCCGCAGGCGGGCUGAUAAGUCAGUGGUGAAAUCCUACGGCUCAACCGUAGAACUGCCAUUGAUACUGUUAGUCUUGAGUAAGGUGGAAGUUGGCGGAAUAC